Molecule: ribosomal RNA, 700 nt
Filed under: uncultured bacterium
Lineage: Bacteria
Description: bacterial SSU rRNA
Rfam family: Bacterial small subunit ribosomal RNA
Source: RNAcentral
AGAGUUUGAUCAUGGCUCAGGACGAACGCUGGCGGCGCGCUUAACACAUGCAAGUCGAGCGAGAACCAGGGCUUCGGCCCUGGGGACAGCGGCGAACGGGUGAGUAACACGUGGAUAACCUGCCCUCGGCACCGGGAUAGCCCGAGGAAACUCGGAUUAAUACCGGAUAGCCUUUCCGACUCUCGGGUCGGUUCGAAAAGGUAGCUUCGGCCUCUGGCCGAGGAUGGGUCCGCGGCGGAUUAGCUUGUUGGUGGGGUAAUGGCCUACCAAGGCUCCGAUCCGUAGCUGGUCUGAGAGGACGAUCAGCCACACUGGGACUGAGACACGGCCCAGACUCCUACGGGAGGCAGCAGUGGGGAAUCUUGCCCAAUGGGCGAAAGCCUGAGGCAGCGACGCCGCGUGAGGGAAGAAGGCCUUCGGGUUGUAAACCUCUUUCAGGAGGGACGAAGCUACUCGGGUUAAUAGCCCAGAGGGUGACGGUACUUCCAGAAGAAGCCCCGGCUAACUACGUGCCAGCAGCCGCGGUAAUACGUAGGGGGCAAGCGUUGUCCGGAUUUACUGGGCGUAAAGAGCGUGUAGGCGGCCGCACAGGUCCGUUGUGAAAACUGGAGGCUUAACCUCCAGACGUCGACGGAAACCGUGUGGCUAGAGUCCGGAAGAGGAGAGUGGAAUUCCCGGUGUAGCGGUGAAAUGCGCAGAU